This 214-nucleotide ribosomal RNA is filed under the name uncultured bacterium. Its description in RNAcentral is "partial 16S ribosomal RNA". It matches the Rfam family "Bacterial small subunit ribosomal RNA", at positions 120 to 334 of the family's 1533-position model. The record is from RNAcentral.
AGUAGCCUGCCUCUAAGAGGGGAAUAACAUUCUGAAAAGAAUGCUAAUACCGCAUAACAUAUAUUUAUCGCAUGGUAGAUAUAUCAAAGAUUUAUCGCUUAGAGAUGGACUCGCGUCCGAUUAGUUAGUUGGUGAGGUAACGGCUCACCAAGACUGCGAUCGGUAGCCGGACUGAGAGGUUGAACGGCCACAUUGGGACUGAGACACGGCCCAG